Pongo pygmaeus (Bornean orangutan) is the source of this 502-nucleotide long non-coding RNA. RefSeq lists it as uncharacterized. The record is from RefSeq and is a predicted model, not a curated record. The transcript is spliced from 3 exons. Lineage: Eukaryota; Metazoa; Chordata; Mammalia; Primates; Hominidae.
UCCUGCAGAGUUUAUGCAUUGAGUCCUGUUGCCCCUGAGGCAUGUAACGUGGGGCGGGCUGUCUUUUGGAGGCCCUCAGGUGUCCUACAGAUGGGACACAUAAAGGCAAGAUGCCAUCCACCUCCGGCAGCUUUCACGAAGCUUGAAAGACUGGCUUAUAAUGGAUCCUAGGUUUCUUUUGUCCCUUGCUGCCUCUCUUGUCCUACUUCAAUAUUCUUUAUCCUGUGAUGACAUGUGCACUUCACAGUACAAAGAAGGUAGAAGAUGCUCAAGGAAUUCUUGCUGAAAUAAACUGUGUAUCCAAAAGGGGAAGAAUUUCUGGAUCACAUGGUAGCUGUGUUUAACAAUUUGAGGAACCACCAAACUAUUUUCCAAAGUGACUGUACCAUUUUACAUUCCCAAUGUGUAAAUGUCACAAUGUAUGAAAUUUCCAAUUUCUUCACAUCGUCAGCAACAAAUUUUAACAAUUGUUAUUGUGUGACUUUUUUAUUCUAGUCAUUCA